Long non-coding RNA from Vigna unguiculata (cowpea), 1949 nucleotides. The record is from RefSeq and is a predicted model, not a curated record. Lineage: Eukaryota; Viridiplantae; Streptophyta; Magnoliopsida; Fabales; Fabaceae.
UUUCUCAUUUCUUUCGUUCAUUCCCUUUCUUUAACAUGGUUCCUCGUUUUCCACAUAGUUCAUUGUUUUGUCGCUCCCGCUUCCCAACAGUCACCGUCACCGAGUGAAGUUGCCGUCUCCGUCACCGUGCGAAGUCAUCGUCUCCGUCACCAUGUGAAGUCGCCGUCACCGUGCGAAGUCGCCUCGUCACGGUCGCGUAUUGUUUCUGUGCUCUUCGUCUACUAGCAUCACUAUCGCAUUUCGUCCAUCUCUUAUAUGCUUUCUGUAUUUGAAGGAUCCUGAAAUUUCAGCCAAUUUAACAAACUCUGUUACAGGAUCGGCUAAACUCCAGGGCUCAGAAUCUGGAUGGCUAUUUUGCUACUCAACGGAUUGAUUUUGGAAUGUGCCACCAAAUGAAUUCGGUAUCUCCUAUUCAUAAUGAUUAUUACUACAACCAGCAUGGCAUCCAAGACCCGGGACAGUUGAACUCAAUUGCAUCCAUCCAUGAUCCCUGUUACAUGGCCCCACAAAGGAUGCAUGCGAUGGGUUGUUGUCGGCUUUAAAAGCAUAUCUGACAAGGAUUUGGGAGCUCGAAGCAUUUUUGUUUUGAAGAGUACGAAGGUGCAGCAAACGAAGGUGGGAGAGGACCAAGUAUAUGGGAUGCAUACACUCACAAAUAUCCAGGUUAAUAAUCUGAUUAUAAAUGUGUAAUACUUGCAGACAAGAUAAGGGGUGUAAGUAAUGGAGAUGUAGCUGUUGACUAGUAUCAUCGCUAUAAGGUAAAUUUUAAAUUUUAGUGAUGACAACAAGAAACCAAUUAUCUCUCUUCCUCAAAGUAAUUAAUUAUUUUUGGAUGUUUUUUAUUUAUAUAACAAGAAGAUAUUCAGAUAAUGAAGAAUAUGAAUUUGGAUGCAUACAUAUUUUCCAUCUCUUGGUCUAGAAUCCUACCAAGUGAGAUCAAAUUUGAUGAACAAUUUUUGUUUUUGAAAUUAUUGUAGUUGGAUCUUUCACAUUAACAAUUUCAAUCUUGUUUUUCAUAUAUAGACGGAAAGCUGAGUGGAGGUGUAAACCCAGAAGGAAUCAGAUAUUACAACAACCUUAUCGAUAAUUUGCUAGCCAACGAACCAUAUGUGACACUUUUUCAUUGGGAUCUUCCACAAGCUUUGGAAGAAGAAUACGGAGGUUUCUUAAGUCGUCGCGUUGUAGAUGAUUUUCGACACUAUACAGAAAUUUGUUUCAGAUACUUCAGAAACAGGGUGAAAUAUUAGAUUACUCUGAAUGAGCCAUGGUCUUAUAGUAACAGUGGCUAUGCAGUUGGGAGUUUUCCACCAGGUUGAUGUUCUAAAUGGUUAGAUUCAAGACGUAUUUGAUAGGCUAAGAGGAAAGCUACACAAGAGAUAGCAAAAAAGAAUGUCCACCCUCAUAGAUUGUCUCGUGGGGAUUAUGAUAAAUUUGAGCAGAAGAUGAUGAAAGAGGCAUCUGCCUCUAAUUCCAGUGGGACUACUGUUACUCAUCCUCCUUGCCAUGAUAAAUGGAAAAGAGCUCGUCAAAAACCAACACUUUGAAAAUGGGACUGGCAGUUGUAUAUAAUGAUAUUUGAAUCUGUAGGGGUCACUGACAGUUGCUGAUAAUUCUUUCUCAGAAGUUUGUUGUGGUUCUUUUGUGUUCAGUACACAACAAGCCUAACACUUUGAAAAUUAAAAGUACUUUACAAGCAGCGGUUGAGGCUCAUUCUAGGUUGCAGGGACAACAAAUCUUUUCUAGAAAGAAGUUGCAAUUCAUUACGCCAACUAUUUUCAAUGACACAUCUCCAAUGGAUCAAGGAGUCUUGAAGGAAGUUCGUGAGCAGUGAGCUUUGUUUCUUUUAAGUGUUUAUAUAAAAUGAUGUUAGGUGUUUUAUGACUUAUAUAGUAAUUCAUUUUGGAGUAGUAUUAUAUUUCAUAUAAACAUUAGAUUCUAUUUCACGUAAA